Molecule: ribosomal RNA, 355 nt
Filed under: uncultured bacterium
Lineage: Bacteria
Description: bacterial SSU rRNA
Rfam family: Bacterial small subunit ribosomal RNA
Source: RNAcentral
GUGAGUAGUUCAGAGUUUGAUCCUGGCUCAGGAUGAACGCUGGCGGCGUGCUUAACACAUGCAAGUCGAACGAAGCACUUUAAUGGAUUUCUUCGGAAUGAAGCUUUAGUGACUGAGUGGCGGACGGGUGAGUAACGCGUGGGUAACCUGCCUCAUACAGGGGGAUAACAGUUGGAAACGACUGCUAAUACCGCAUAAGCGCACGGUAUCGCAUGAUACAGUGUGAAAAACUCCGGUGGUAUGAGAUGGACCCGCGUCUGAUUAGCUAGUUGGUAAGGUAACGGCUUACCAAGGCAACGAUCAGUAGCCGACCUGAGAGGGUGACCGGCCACAUUGGGACUGAGACACGGCCCAA